AGGGUUUGAUCAUGGCUCAGAACGUACGCUGGCGGCACGCCUAACACAUGCAAGUCGAACGAAGUAGCAAUACUUAGUGGCAGACGGGUGAGUAACAUGUGGGUAUCUGCCCUUUGGCCUGGAAUAACACGAGGAAACUUGUGCUAAUACCGGAUAAGUCUUUACGGAGAAAGCUUUAUGCACCAUUGGAUGAGCCCGCACUUGAUUAGUUUGUUGGUGGGGUAAUGGCCUACCAAGACUAUGAUCAAUAGCUGAUUUGAGAGGAUGAUCAGCCACAUUGGGACUGAGACACGGCCCAAACUCCUACGGGAGGCAGCAGUGGGGAAUCUUGCACAAUGGAGGAAACUCUGAUGCAGCGAUGCCGCGUGAGUGAAGAAGGCCCUUGGGUUGUAAAGCUCUUUCGUCGGGGAAGAAAAUGACUGUACCCGAAUAAGAAGGUCCGGCUAACUUCGUGCCAGCAGCCGCGGUAAUACGAAGGGACCUAGCGUAGUUCGGAAUUACUGGGCUUAAAGAGUUCGUAGGUGGUUGAAAAAGUUGGUGGUGAAAUCCCAGAGCUUAACUCUGGAACUGCCAUCAAAACUUUUCAGCUAGAGUUUGAUAGAGGAAAGCAGAAUUUCUAGUGUAGAGGUGAAAUUCGUAGAUAUUAGAAAGAAUACCAAUUGCGAAGGCAGCUUUCUGGAUCAUUACUGACACUGAGGAACGAAAGCAUGGGUAGCGAAGAGGAUUAGAUACCCUCGUAGUCCAUGCCGUAAACGAUGUGUGUUAGACGUUGGAAAUUUAUUUUCAGUGUCGCAGCGAAAGCGAUAAACACACCGCCUGGGGAGUACGACCGCAAGGUUAAAACUCAAAUGAAUUGACGGGGACCCGCACAAGUAGUGGAGCAUGUGGUUUAAUUCGAAGAUACGCGCAGAACCUUACCAACACUUGACAUGUUCGUCGCGACUUUAAGAGAUUAAAGUUUUCGGUUCGGCCGGACGAAACACAGGUGCUGCAUGGCUGUCGUCAGCUCGUGUCGUGAGAUGUUGGGUUAAGUCCCGCAACGAGCGCAACCCUCACUUUUAGUUGCCAUCAUUAAGUUGGGCACUCUGAAAGAACUGCCAGUGAUAAGCUGGAGGAAGGUGGGGAUGACGUCAAGUCCUCAUGGCCCUUACGUGUUGGGCUACACACGUGCUACAAUGGUAUCUACAACAGGAAGCGAAACAGCGAUGUUAAGCAAAUCCUUAAAAGAUACCUCAGUUCGGAUUGCACUCUGCAACUCGAGUGCAUGAAGCUGGAAUUACUAGUAAUCGUGGAUCAGCGUGCCACGGUGAAUGCGUUCCCGGGUCUUGUACACACCGCCCGUCACACCAUGGGAGUUGGUUCUACCUUAAGGCAAGGUUUAAUACCCUUGACCACGGUAUAGUCAGCGACUGGGGUGAAGUCAUAACAAGGUAACCGUA
This 1439-nucleotide ribosomal RNA is filed under the name uncultured bacterium. Its description in RNAcentral is "bacterial SSU rRNA". It matches the Rfam family "Bacterial small subunit ribosomal RNA". The record is from RNAcentral.